AUGGUAUUAUCAUCAAGAAUGAUGCACUUCCCGCCAAGGCGGGCGGCAAACAAGUGUAGGCCACUGCAUUCAGUGUCAUGGGCACAAAGGCAAUUUUCUAUAACUGCACCAUCGAGGCCGACCAGGGAGCCUUGUAUGACCAUGAGGGACUCCACUACUUCAAGGCCUCUACAAUCAAGGGAAGUGUUGACUUUAUCUUCGGAUCCGCAUGAUCGUUGUAUGAAGACUGUAGCAUCAUCUCUACUAACAAGGAUAUCACCGACAUGGAAGUGGCACAAUAGGGUCGGGCCAGCGAGAGCCGUAUCAACAGUGAGAGCGGUUUCUCCUUCAAGAAUUGUACCAUCAAGGGUGAGGGGAAACCAGUAUUUUUAG
This 372-nucleotide ribosomal RNA is filed under the name Triticum aestivum (bread wheat). RNAcentral's name for it is "partial small subunit ribosomal RNA". Lineage: Eukaryota; Viridiplantae; Streptophyta; Magnoliopsida; Poales; Poaceae. The record is from RNAcentral.